GCAAACUUGGUCAUUUAGAGGAAGUAAAAGUCGUAACAAGGUUUCCGUAGGUGAACCUGCGGAAGGAUCAUUAAAGAAACACCAAGGCGAAGGUUGUCGCUGGCCCGUCAAAGGGCAUGUGCACGCCCGAGCCGUUUCAUCCACACACCCCUGUGAACUUGAAGUGGGUCUUUGGGAAACCGAAGGCUCAUGUCUUUUACCAACCACGUAUGUCUCAGAAUGUAACGUUAAAGCCUCUUCGGAGGUAUAAAUGCAUAUAACUUUCAACAACGGAUCUCUUGGCUCUCGCAUCGAUGAAGAACGCAGC
This 307-nucleotide unclassified non-coding RNA is filed under the name uncultured fungus. RNAcentral's name for it is "partial contains small subunit ribosomal RNA, internal transcribed spacer 1, and 5.8S ribosomal RNA". The stretch from base 1 to 73 matches the Rfam family "Eukaryotic small subunit ribosomal RNA", at positions 1759 to 1831 of the family's 1831-position model. Lineage: Eukaryota; Fungi. The record is from RNAcentral.